UACGUAGGGUGCAAGAGUUGUCCGGAAUUACUGGGCGUAAAGCGCGUGUAGGCGGCCUUCUAAGUCUGGUGUGAAAGCCCGGGGCUCACCCCCGGAAGUGCAUUGGAUACUGGAAGGCUGGAGUACCGGAGAGGAGGGUGGAAUUCCUGGUGUAGCGGUGAAAUGCGUAGAUAUCAGGAGGAACACCUGUGGCGAAGGCGGCCCUCUGGACGGAUACUGACGAUGAGACGCGAAAGCGUGGGGAGCAAACAGG
This 253-nucleotide ribosomal RNA is filed under the name uncultured bacterium. RNAcentral's name for it is "partial 16S ribosomal RNA". It matches the Rfam family "Bacterial small subunit ribosomal RNA", at positions 524 to 776 of the family's 1533-position model. The record is from RNAcentral.